UGAAUGUAGUCCCAUUGACCUGGGAUUCCUGC
This 32-nucleotide non-coding RNA is filed under the name Rattus norvegicus (Norway rat). Lineage: Eukaryota; Metazoa; Chordata; Mammalia; Rodentia; Muridae. The record is from RNAcentral.